UACGUAGGUGGCAAGCGUUAUCCGGAUUUACUGGGUGUAAAGGGCGUGUAGGCGGGACUGCAAGUCAGAUGUGAAAAUUAUGGGCUCAACCCAUAACCUGCAUUUGAAACUGUAGUUCUUGAGUGAUGGAGAGGCAGGCGGAAUUCCGUGUGUAGCGGUGAAAUGCGUAGAGAUUAGGAAGGACACCAGUGGCGAAGGCGAUUCUCUGGACUGUAACUGACGCUGAGGCUCGAAAGCAUGGGUAGCGAACAGG
Molecule: ribosomal RNA, 253 nt
Filed under: uncultured bacterium
Lineage: Bacteria
Description: partial 16S ribosomal RNA
Rfam family: Bacterial small subunit ribosomal RNA
Source: RNAcentral